This 948-nucleotide ribosomal RNA is filed under the name uncultured archaeon. Its description in RNAcentral is "bacterial SSU rRNA". It matches the Rfam family "Archaeal small subunit ribosomal RNA", at positions 24 to 973 of the family's 1478-position model. The record is from RNAcentral.
GCAUGGCGGCGCGGGAAUCGAUCUAAGCCAUGCGAGUCAAAUGUUCUUCGUGAACAUGGCGUACUGCUCAGUAACACGUGGAUAACCUGCCUUAGGACUGGCAUAACCCCGGGAAACUGGGGAUAAUUCCGGAUAGUUCAUGGUAGCUGGAAUGCUCCAUGAUCGAAAGCUAUUGCGCCUAAGGAUGGGUCUGCGGUCUAUCAGGUAGUAGUGGGUGUAAUGUACCUACUAGCCGACGACGGAUACGGGUUGUGGGAGCAAGAGCCCGGAGAUGGAUUCUGAGACAUGAAUCCAGGCCCUACGGGGCGCAGCAGGCGCGAAAACUUUACAAUGCGGGAAACCGCGAUAAGGGGACACCGAGUGCCAGCAUCUUAUGUUGGCUGUCCGCAUGUAUAAAUCACAUGUGUUAGCAAGGGCCGGGCAAGACCGGUGCCAGCCGCCGCGGUAACACCGGCGGCCCGAGUGGUGGCCACUAUUAUUGGGUCUAAAGGGUCCGUAGCCGGUUUGGUCAGUCUUCCGGGAAAUCUGACGGCUUAACCGUUAGGCUUUCGGGGGAUACUACCAGGCUUGGGACCGGGAGAGGUAAGAGGUACUACGGGGGUAGGAGUGAAAUCUUGUAAUCCGCGUGGGACCACCAGUGGCGAAGGCGUCUUACCAGAACGGGUCCGACGGUGAGGGACGAAAGCUGGGGGCACGAACCGGUUUAGAUACCCGGGUAGUCCCAGCCGUAAACUAUGCUCGCUAGGUGUCAGGGACGGUGCGACCGUUUCUGGCGCCGCAGGGAAGCCGUGGAGCGAGCCACCUGGGAAGUACGGUCGCAAGGCUGAAACUUAAAGGAAUUGGCGGGGGAGCACUACAACGGGUGGAGCCUGCGGUUUAAUUGGACUCAACGCCGGAAAACUCACCGGGGGCGACAGCAAUAUGUAGGUCAAGCUAAAGACACAGCUA